This 207-nucleotide ribosomal RNA is filed under the name uncultured bacterium. RNAcentral describes it as "partial 16S ribosomal RNA". It matches the Rfam family "Bacterial small subunit ribosomal RNA", at positions 568 to 774 of the family's 1533-position model. The record is from RNAcentral.
CGCGUAGGCGGUAUGCCAAGUCAGGGGUGAAAGGCCUGGGCUCAACCCAGGAACUGCCUUUGAAACUGGCAAACUAGAGUCCGAAAGAGGAUGGCGGAAUUCCCAGUGUAGAGGUGAAAUCCGUAGAUAUUGGGAAGAACACCAGUGGCGAAGGCGGCCAUCUGGAUCGGAACUGACGCUGAGGCGCGAAAGCGUGGGGAGCAAACA